AGGUAAUAGAGUUUGACGAUGGGUCUGGAUCAGUUCUCAGGAUACAACCCUUACGGACUCCGAGGGAUGAGGCCAUUUAUGAAUGUGUGGCCUCAAAUAAUGUGGGAGAAAUAAGUGUAUCCACCAGACUCACAGUUUUGCGGGAAGAUCAAAUUCCCAGGGGCUUCCCUACCAUUGACAUGGGCCCACAGUUGAAGGUGGUUGAGCGUACUCGCACGGCCACCAUGCUUUGUGCAGCCAGUGGUAAUCCGGAUCCAGAAAUCACUUGGUUUAAAGAUUUCUUACCCGUGGACACAAGCAACAACAAUGGUCGUAUUAAGCAGUUACGAUCAGGAGCCCUUCAGAUUGAGCAGAGUGAAGAGUCUGACCAAGGAAAAUAUGAGUGUGUUGCCACCAACAGCGCGGGCACUCGCUAUUCCG
This 420-nucleotide small RNA is filed under the name Pongo abelii (Sumatran orangutan). RNAcentral's name for it is "processed transcript". Lineage: Eukaryota; Metazoa; Chordata; Mammalia; Primates; Hominidae. The record is from RNAcentral.